This 480-nucleotide ribosomal RNA is filed under the name uncultured bacterium. RNAcentral describes it as "partial 16S ribosomal RNA". It matches the Rfam family "Bacterial small subunit ribosomal RNA", at positions 28 to 523 of the family's 1533-position model. The record is from RNAcentral.
GACGAACGCUGGCGGCGUGCUUAACACAUGCAAGUCGAACGAUGAAGUUCCUUCGGGAAUGGAUUAGUGGCGAACGGGUGAGGAACACGUGAGAAACCUGCCUUUCAUUUUGGGAUAACCCCGGGAAACCGGGGCUAAAACCGAAUACUCCGUCUCGGCGGCAGCGCUGAGCCGGGAAAAAAUGUUGAUGAAAGAUGGUCUCGUGGCCUAUAAGCUAGUUGGUGAGGUAAUGGCUCACCAAGGCAACGAAGGGUAGCCGGCCUGAGAGGGCUACCGGCCACACUGGGACUGAGACACGGCCCAGACUCCUACGGGAGGCAGCAGUGGGGAAUAUUGGGCAAUGGGCGCAAGCCUGACCCAGCGACGCCGCGUGAGGGAUGAAGGCCUUCGGGUUGUAAACCUCUUUCAGUAGGGAAGAAGCGAAAGUAACGGUACCUAAAGAAGAAGCACCGGCUAACUAUGUGCCAGCCGCCGCCGUAA